UGCGUAGGCGGCGGCAUAAGUCAGAAGUGAAAGUUGGCAGCUUAACUGCAAAAUUGCUUUUGAUACUGUGUUGCUUGAAUCAAGUUGAGGCUGGUGGAAUGUGGCAUGUAGCGGUGAAAUGCUUAGAUAUGCCAUAGAACACCAAUUGCGAAGGCAGCUGGCUAAGCUUGUAUUGACGCUGAGGCACGAAAGCGUGGGGAGCGAACAGGAUUAGAUACCCUGGUAGUCC
This 229-nucleotide ribosomal RNA is filed under the name uncultured bacterium. RNAcentral describes it as "partial 16S ribosomal RNA". It matches the Rfam family "Bacterial small subunit ribosomal RNA", at positions 568 to 796 of the family's 1533-position model. The record is from RNAcentral.